CUGGAAAGUUAUAUGUGGUAUUCCAUCUUAAAGUUAUCCGCUGAUCUGGUGACGAUGAUGUUAAAGAUUGAAGGCUGUGAUUAGCAAAUCGCAGACGACUUGCAAGUUGUGUCCUUCGGUUACAAAAGAAAAGGCAAAAUGCAAUACCAAAUGAAAUUAUACAUCUGUGUGUUCUCAGGGUAUACAAUUACAAAGCAAAAAGGAAACGAUGACCCAAAACUAUUUCUGCAAUGGAUCUGAUUCUGGAUUCACAAUUCCUGCUGAUUCUUAUGUUCGGAAGCCAAAAAUUACAAGCAAACCCUGCAACAUAUAUAUAUAUAUAUGUUCGUUCCAAAGGCACCCUUUCUCUUUUGCUCAAGUGGUCAUUUCCCCUCAAUGCUUCCAACAGAAACAACUCCGUUAUUCAUGAAUCCUCAUCAGUCAACAGUAGAAUUAUUGUCAGCAUCCAAGGACUCGCUCAACCGUUUCACAGGCAGAUUUUUCACCAGCAAUUUCUUAAGAGUGCUACCAUAAAGGAGCUGCUGGAUGAUACAGCACGAUCCAAACUAAACACCUGCUGUAGCUUUAACUUCAUGAUCUGUUGUUCCCUCAGAUCGAAGAUCAGCUCGGACCUUCCGUGUAGGAGUCCUCAUUGUGACAAGCUCCUCCGCUGCUGUUGGGUGAAUACCCACUGUAGCAUCAAAGUCUGCCUUUUUCAAGCCAGCUUUGACAGCAACAGCAAACCCCUGCACAAUUUCUGGUGCAUCUUCUCCACACAUGUGCAACCCCAGAACUUUGUCCGUCUUUGCACAGACUAUUAAUUUCAUGAAAACCCGAUCUGGAAGCCCUGAAAGAGUGGCCUUCAAAGGCCUGAAGUCUGCUGUGAAAAUAUCGAUGUCACCAUAUGCUUUUAUAGCCUGCUCUUCAGUGAGACCAACUUGUCCAAUUGGUGGCUGGGAAAACACAGCAGAUGGAAUUGCUCUAUAAUCAGGUUUUGUUGGCUCAUUCAGAAACAGAGAUUUUGCCAAUGCCCCUCCUUCCAUCAAAGCAACUGGAGUCAAAUUCACCCUAUCUGUAACAUCUCCAACUGCCCAAAUGGAGGGAACUGAUGUGCGCGAGUAUUCGUCAACCUCUAUUGCUCCAUUCUUGUCCAUUUUUACCCCCACUGUCUCCAAUCCCAAGUUCUGCAAUGCAAAACUAGCAAAGAAUUACAAGAAAGCAAGAAACAUGAUGCCAAAGAUGAAAACAAUGGUAACAAUGGUCCAAUUUCAUUCUCUUUAAUUUUCAGUGCGAACAGGUAUACAAAGAUUCAAACCCACUGCCUUUAUGUCACAAUCAUUAAUUAAUAUCCCAAGAUAUCUAAGUGUGGCCAGAGGAAGCCAAAGAAUUAAGGGGAAAAAAAAAGUUUGAACCGUCGUGUUAGGCCUACGCCCUGUUGCAAACAUAAUAUGUGAGAAGCCUUCGACUGUUCCUUUGUUGGUCUUCAGUGACAGGGAACCAUCUGCUGCUUUAAUAAUAGCCUGGGGUGGCUCCUCUGUGUGGAACUCAAUUCCUCUUAGAGACAUUUGCUCUGCAACAAAAUCUCUGAUCUCUUCAUCAAAGCCCCUUAAUACUUUUUUUUGCCGUAUAAAUACAUGGACCUCACUUUUCAAACCAUUGAAUAUACCAGCAAACUCUAAGGCAAUGUAGCCUCCACCGACUAUUGCAAUUUUCUCAGGCUUUGAGGGCAAAUCAAGUGCUGCAUCUGAAUCUAUCGCAUAUUCACUUCCAGGAAUUUCAGGAAUGAAGGGCCGCCCCCCAACUGAAAUCAGGAUGUGUCUUGCUGAAUAGAUUUUUCCAUCAACAUCAACUGUAUGUGGGUCCACAAUCUUUCCACGCCCCUCAAUUAAUGUGACAUUAGCAUUCUUUAGAAUAUUCUUGUAGAUACCAGUAAGGCGUUGCAACUCAGCAUUUUUAUUAGCCAUCAAAGUGCUCCAGUCAUGCUUCGGUUCAAUCUCAUAUUUCCAUCCAAAACCAUUGCUCUCUUCAAAUUCAUGAGAAUAUUUUGAAGAGUAAACAAGCAGUUUCUUUGGUACACACCCACGAAGGACACACGUGCCACCAACGCCUCCAGUGGUCUCGGAAGAGAUGGUGGAGAACGGUAGCUCACAAAUAGCAACGGAAGCACCGAAAUUGGCAGCAAAGCGGGAGGCACGGACACCUCCGCUUCCAGCGCCGAUGGUGAAGAGGUCGAAAUCGUAGCGGCGAGCCGGUUCGGCGCCAUUAUCGGAGUCAGAGCGAACAGUGAAAAGGCGGCGAUGAAGAUGGGAGGGAGAGAGAGAAAGGCGGCGAGGAGGGAUAGAGGAUAGGGUUUUGGGAAGAAAGAGAAAGGAGGAAUAGAAAGGGAUUGCGAUUGGGAAGUUCCGGUAGAGGGAUUGGAGAGUAGGAGAGGAAAGCUUAGGAGUAGUAAGAGAAGUAGCUGCAGCCAUUUUUGGGCGGGGAAGGAAGGUAUGCGUAGUUCUUUUGCACUUCUUUUA
Molecule: unclassified non-coding RNA, 2495 nt
Filed under: Hevea brasiliensis (rubber tree)
Lineage: Eukaryota; Viridiplantae; Streptophyta; Magnoliopsida; Malpighiales; Euphorbiaceae
Source: RNAcentral